AUUUUUUGCCCUAACUUAUUAUGCACCCUAUUUUUUUUAUUGUUGUAGGGGGCUUGAUCACUAGAUUUCAACUUAAUAAAAGGACCCUCUACUGUUUCCAUAACACAACAGGAUUGAACACUGGGAUGUUGACUCUGAUGAUCUCCAACUGAUGUCAUUAUGAACAGCAUUUAAACACUGAACUUUUUAAUACUUGCUAAAAAGUGGAUGACAACCCAAAUGAGAACCACUGUCCAAAGGAGCCAAUUUUACAUGUGAAUGACUGUUUUUAUCAUGUGAUUUAAAGUUGUAAGUGGCAGCCCUUGCUCCCAAAAUUCAGUCUCCUCUGUUGUCUGAAAUCUAUCAGCAGUAAUUCGGUAUCAUCACCCUGAUACCGAAACCAGACAAAGAUACCACAAAAGAAGAAAGUUACAGGCCGAUAUCACAGAUGAACACAGACACAGAAAUCCUCAACAAAAUACUAGCAAUCCGAAUCCAACAAACAUUAAGAGGAUAAUACACCAUGAUCAAGUGGGAUUUAUCCCAGGGAUGCAAGGAUUCUUCAAUAUCCACAAAUCAAUCAGUGUGAUAAACCACAUCAACAAACUGAAGAAUAAAAACCAUAUGAUCAUCUCAAUAGAUGCAGAAAAAGCAAUAAUUCCUUCCAUUGGAGAACAUAAAUACUUCUCUGGAUGGCUACAUUUCAUUGGAAAUAAUUUGGGGAGGGAUGCCCAAAUUAAAUACCCCAAAUUUUAGAGUGAAUAAAUUUGUUAGGCAUUUUAUUCAUUCAUUAAUUUUAAUUUUAUUCAUUCAUUCAUUAAUUUUUCAUUCACUCUUUCAUCUCACUGAUUCCUGCAACUGAUAGAGCACCUUCUAUGGGCCAAGAGCUCUUCUAGGUGAUGGAAAUCUUGAGGGGAGCCCUUGAGAGGAGCACAUCCCCAUUUGGCAGCAGAACACUGAGCUGGUGAAGUUACCCAAAGUGGGGAAAGAGGCAUGGAACAGGGAAAAGACAUUCACCAAAUCUACUCUGCUACUUCACAGUUUUGCCUAAAGCUGACACUGGCAGUGCCCACAGGUGUCCAACUUCAACCACAACUGGUGAAGCAUGCAAAAAGCUGCCUUGAAAAAGGGAAGUUGACUUCGGAAGUGCAGGAUUCCCUAGAGUCCAAGAUUUCAUUGGUCGAGAACAAGUUUUCCUUAGCAUUUAAAAAAUGUUAUACUGUAAAUCCUUCAGUGGCAGAAUCCAAUUAGUCUCCCAAAGAAGCUGCUCAACAUAUUAAGACGCAUAUGUUCAGCAAAUCUAAAAUGGAAAAUUUCAUCUUCCUGAUCAAGCCAACUCCCCUAUUUUUGUAAACAGGACCAGACACAAGACUUGAAACCACAAAAUCACCUUGGACUACACAUUCCAAUCCUCUUUCCCACCUCCCGUGUUCCAUUUUGGCCAUGUUCUUUCCGUUCUCCUUCUACAAUCCUUUCCUUCCCCGCUAUGUUCUGCCUCAAUCUGAGCUAAUGUAUCAACAACUUAGGUCAUCUCCCUGCCUUCAGCAUUUCUACCUCUACUAUCCAUCCUGAAAGCUGCCACUAUAAAAGCAUUUUGAUCAUAUUGUUCGUCCUUUUGCUGCAAGGUAAACGCUCCUAAAAUUUAGCUUCAGGCCCUUGUUGUACCUCAAAUUGUGCUACAGCCGACCCUUAACCUUGCUGAGCUUCAGAUAAAACCUGAACCCCUUAGCUUGGUAUUAAAUUUAUCUACCCCCUAUCCUUACCAUCUUAUGUAUAACCACUAUUUCAAGGCUUCUAUUUCAGUCCAGAUGGUUUACUCACCCCUCCUUAACCACUCUUCAUUUUUCCAGUUUCAUAUAUUUACUCGUAAUUGUUCCACACAGACAUGCACACGCGCGCGUGCUCACACACACCCACACAACUACAGAUUUAAGCUUUGUGCAGCACUCGACAGUUCUUGGAAUGUCUCUGAGUCUGAUUGUCAACUGUAAAUGAAAUUUUAAAUAUCUAACCUCUCAAACUUGUAGGCUCUUUCUGAGGACCAAAGAAACUAAUAUUUUAUUGACUCCUUGUUAUAUGCCAAACACUUUGCUAGUUUCAAUAAGGUAUCAUGUUGCCUUAUUAAAAUCUUCCAGUGAUUCUGUGAUAGAGGUAGAUCUUAUUUUCAUUUUACAGAUAAGGAAACUGAGACAAUCGUUUGUAUGUAAAUACUUUGAAAACUGAGAAACAGCUAGAAAAAUGUGUGUUUUUGUCUGUUUGUGACCUCCUAUUAAAUCUUCUGUUUUAUGCAAUCUUAACUUUUUCUCCAACUACAUUUUAAGGUAUAAAUGAUUUUAUGUAUUUCUUUAGAGUAUAUCCUCUCAUGAUAGUUACUAGAGUUCAUAAUUGCUUUGUAAGUAUUUUCAGGUUUAUUUUGAUAUACAGCUUAUGUGAUAGUUGAUUGAUGAUUUUUACUUUUCCAUCAGAGGAGCUUAAAAUUUUCUUUCCUCCAUUUUUGCCUAUUAGGUGGCAGCCACAUACCUGACAUUAAAGAGGCUAUGGAGGGGUUACCAAGGAAAAGAGAUAAGCCUCACUUAUGUGGGCUGCCUCAGGGUGUUAUACAUAGGUAUAACUAAGAUUUGUCCUAUUUGAAAAUAUUUCAAAAUAUAUUUAAGUGAGCCAAUCAAAUCUGACCUAAUGAAGGGGAAAAUAUUAAGAGUAACUGAACACUAUCUGUGGCAUAUUUUAAAAAGAUCUAUUAGUGAUGAGGCAACCGAGGAUAACUUCACUUCCCUAGUGCUAAACACAAUAGACAAGAUAAUGAUAGAGGCUCAUCAGACUCUACCUUUGAAACUUGCCUUUGAUGAUUUAAAUACAGGAAGUUAAACUAGUUAAUGCUUGAGCAGGGAUUUGUUUAUUCUAUUUAUCUGAAACUAAAGCCAACUAUCAUAGUAAGUUGAAUGACCUUAAAUCUCCAUAUUUGAGCAGAACUUAAUGGACCACUUGCUGAUAGAUGAAUUCAAGAAAAUAAACCAGCUCCCAAAUAUGUGUGUGGGUAUACUAUAUAUACUAUAUACUUUGCUACUCAACUCUAAAAACAAAUGUUUCUUUUGUAGAAAAAUUAAAGUGAUAGAUUCUAAACAACUUUCUAUAUAAAUAAAGAUCCUAGACUCAAAAGGUGGCUGAUUCAACUUAAUUUUUUAAAUUGUACUUUAGGUAUACCUAAUGAUUAAAACUUUUUGGUUAAAAAAGGUGAGUUUGAUUUCUACUACUUUUUUUCCUGUUCUCCAAUUAGAAAGAACAUGUUUUCAUGGUACUUUGCUCAGUAGAAGUAAACAUUUAAGGAUGGCUCCCUCUAAGUCCAUUUUUUCAACAUGAAACAGGAUGCCUGGCAUGAACUACAUUUCCUUUAUUGCACUCUGUUAAAUUCCAAAUACAGUUAUACAUCUUAAUAUAAGAAAUAUGUGUGACAUAGCACAUUUUCCAAGACAAUAUGUUUGAAAUGAAGGAUGAACUAGGGAAAUUAAUCCAGCAGUCUAUUAGAUGAUGACGGUUUAAGGAAAUGCAGUCUUAUCUUUUCCACGCAUCAAGGCCAUCAGUUUUGCCUUUAUCCACUAGAGGGGGUAAUGUUCCUCCAUCCUAAAAGGACAUGGAAUUAUCCCAAUGAGAUUUAAAUGCGCACAGUGACCUUAUUUCUUUUGAAACCAGGUUAAUUAAAUAACAUAAUACAAUGGAUGCCAAAAAUACCAAUGAAAGUUGCUUCAAAAACAUUUGUGGAAAAAAAAAAAAACAUUUGUGACCCCAAGAUCAGAAAUAGCUGUUUUUGUCCACCCUAAAACUUUGCAAAAUCCGUGGUUGUAAAAAGGAUGGGUUAAAUGUGUUUUAGCUAAGAGAGGAAAAUUUUACAUAAAGUAAUGUUUUCUAUGACCGUUCCAAAAAGUACUGUGUUCUUUUUCAUGUGAUUAAUUUCACCUUACUAGAGUUGGUAACUGGAUUGUUGUCUGUUUGGUUCAGCAAGGAGGCAAAUCACCUCUUUACAUUUAAGGAUGCAUUUAAGAAAGAAUUAAAGAAUUAAAUAGAUUUAUAGAAGUUUAUAAUAAACAUCAUAAAUACAUGAAUUUGACAUAUUACAUGGUUGAAUAGUGAUACAGGAUUCAGAAUACUUAAAGAUCAAUACAUAUAUACAGAACUGGUUUUUCACAUAUAACUAUGUAAUUGUCACGGUUUAUCACGGUAAAAUUUUCUUUUAAUAAAUUCCAAGUCAAUAAGACAAGAAUGUUUUUUUCUUUAAACCUACUGAAAAAUAGUUCGAAUUGGCAGAAUAGCCAAUCAUGUUUGGUUGUUAAAAGAUAAUCAAAGUAAUUGGUUAGAAAUAACCAGUUGCCACACUGAUGAGAUGUCAUAAUUAUAAUUAACUGUGCUAUUAGGUCAGUUGUUUAGUUAUUUCUGUGAAUAAGAAAAAGCCUAAUCAAAAUGCAGAAUAAUUAGUUCAGUUGAAAAGAAGAGAUAUAAUUUGUGAAAAGCAAGUAUAUUACAUCAACCUUAUUUUUCAUAAUCCUAAUUAUUUUCUAAAAUAAAAAAUAUUUCUAGUUCCUGGAGAUUAUUUCCCUUGAAUAAUAGCUACAGCAGUGGUUUCAAGUGGUGGGUGAAUACCAUACUUAUCAUACAACUUUUAAAAAUAUUCAUGCCAAGAGCCCCCCUACAGGAAUGCUGAUUCAGUGGAUCUGGGUUGGGAUCUCAGCAUGGGGACUUGUAAAAAAAAAAUCUCCAUAUUCUAAUCUGUAGCCCUGGCUGAGUGUCACUGCACUGCCCAAUUGUACCUGACUAGGUUUUUCUCCUUGUUGUUUGACCCCUAGAAAGUAUAUAUUAGAAAGUCUUCGGAGGCAAAAGAAGAAAAUUACUGUGAAUUAUUAUGACUUUUUACAGGAAAAUCUCCUAUUGUAUGAAUGAGAGUAAAGACCUCAAAAUACCUAUGUGUGAUAGUGAAUUCCACAUUACAGUGCAAAUAAACAUGCUUUUGAA
Delphinapterus leucas (beluga whale) is the source of this 4980-nucleotide non-coding RNA. NCBI's taxonomy places the organism in Eukaryota, Metazoa, Chordata, Mammalia, Artiodactyla, Monodontidae. The record is from RefSeq and is a predicted model, not a curated record.